RNAcentral lists this long non-coding RNA (286 nucleotides) under Carica papaya (papaya). Its description in RNAcentral is "long non-coding RNA (CPAP_LNC005475)". The record is from RNAcentral. Lineage: Eukaryota; Viridiplantae; Streptophyta; Magnoliopsida; Brassicales; Caricaceae.
CAGGGUCGAGUGUUGCUCACUAUGUGCAUGUCGUCUGCGCAGUAGGCCUGCAAGGAUAGGCUUGCGUGCAACUCCAUGCACAUUAUAGACCCUGCGAUGUGCAGGCUAGCUGCUAUGCACGACAGGGUAGGCCGGCACCUGUAGGCUAGGCUUGUAGUGUGCGGCUAGCCUAAGUGAGGCGUAUUGUCGCCUUGGGCAGCGCGUCGCCACCCCCUUGAGCGCGCCGUCUUGGGUAGUGUGCUACCGCCUUGGGUGGUGAGCCACCAUCGGUGGAGGAAUUUUUCCU